RNAcentral lists this ribosomal RNA (253 nucleotides) under uncultured bacterium. Its description in RNAcentral is "partial 16S ribosomal RNA". It matches the Rfam family "Bacterial small subunit ribosomal RNA", at positions 524 to 776 of the family's 1533-position model. The record is from RNAcentral.
UACGUAGGGUGCAAGCGUUGUCCGGAAUUAUUGGGCGUAAAGAGCUCGUAGGCGGUUUGUUGCGUCGGCUGUGAAAUCCCGAGGCUCAACCUCGGGUCUGCAGUCGAUACGAGCAAACUAGAGUGUUGCAGGGGAGACUGGAAUUCCUGGUGUAGCGGUGAAAUGCGCAGAUAUCAGGAAGAACACCAAUGGCGAAGGCGGCACUCUGGGCCGGUACUGACGCUGAGGAGCGAAAGCGUGGGGAGCAAACAGG